GACGAACGCUGGCGGCGUGCCUAAUACAUGCAAGUCGAGCGAACAGACGAGGAGCUUGCUCCCCUGACGUUAGCGGCGGACGGGAGAGUAACACGUGGAUAACAUACCUAUAAGAAUGGGAUAACAUUGGGAAACCGGAGCUAAUACCGGAUAAUAUAUUGAACCGCAUGGUUCAAUAGUGAAAUACGGUUUUGCUGGCACUUAUAGACGGACCCGCGCCGCAUUAGCUAGUUGGUAAGGUAACGGCUUACCAAGGCAACGAUGGGUAGCCGACCUGAGCGGGUGGUCGGCCAGACUGUAACUGAGACACGGUCCAGACUCCUGGGGGAGGCAGCAGUAGAGAAUCUUCCGCGAUGGGCGAGAGCCUGACGGAGCAACGCGGCGUGAGGGAUGAAGGUCUUCGGCUCGGAAAGCGCUGUUAUUAGGAGAGAACAAAUGUGUAAGUAACUGUGCAGAUCUUGACGGUACCUGAUGAAAAAGCCACGGCUAACUACGUG
This 497-nucleotide ribosomal RNA is filed under the name uncultured bacterium. Its description in RNAcentral is "partial 16S ribosomal RNA". It matches the Rfam family "Bacterial small subunit ribosomal RNA", at positions 28 to 507 of the family's 1533-position model. The record is from RNAcentral.